GAGAAUGUCUAGUUAGCAUUAUACCGUGAAACUGCGAAUGGCUCAUUAAAUCAGUUAUCGUUUAUUUGAUAGUACCUUACUACUUGGAUAACCGUGGUAAUUCUAGAGCUAAUACAUGCUUACAACCUCGACUUCGGAAGGGGUGUAUUUAUUAGAUAAAAAACCAACGCCCUUCGGGGCUUCUUGGUGAUUCAUGAUAACUUUACGGAUCGCAUGGCCUUGCGCCGGCGACGGUUCAUUCAAAUUUCUGCCCUAUCAACUUUCGAUGGUAAGGUAUUGGCUUACCAUGGUUUCAACGGGUAACGGGGAAUUAGGGUUCGAUUCCGGAGAGGGAGCCUGAGAAACGGCUACCACAUCCAAGGAAGGCAGCAGGCGCGCAAAUUACCCAAUCCCAAUACGGGGAGGUAGUGACAAUAAAUACUGAUACAGGGCUCUUUUGGGUCUUGUAAUUGGAAUGAGUACAAUUUAAACCUCUUAACGAGGAACAAUUGGAGGGCAAGUCUGGUGCCAGCAGCCGCGGUAAUUCCAGCUCCAAUAGCGUAUAUUAAAGUUGUUGCAGUUAAAAAGCUCGUAGUUGAACCUUGGGUCUGGCUGGCAGGUCCGCCUCACCGCGUGUACUUGUCCGGCCGGGCCUUCCUUCUGGAGAACCUCAUGCCCUUCACUGGGCGUGUUGGGGACCAGGACUUUUACUUUGAAAAAAUUAGAGUGUUCAAAGCAGGCCUUUGCUCGAAUACGUUAGCAUGGAAUAAUAGAAUAGGACGUGCGGUCCUAUUUUGUUGGUUUCUAGGACCGCCGUAAUGAUUAAUAGGGACAGUCGGGGGCAUCAGUAUUCAAUUGUCAGAGGUGAAAUUCUUGGAUUUAUUGAAGACUAACUACUGCGAAAGCAUUUGCCAAGGAUGUUUUCAUUAAUCAGUGAACGAAAGUUAGGGGAUCGAAGACGAUCAGAUACCGUCGUAGUCUUAACCGUAAACUAUGCCGACUAGGGAUCGGGCGAUGUUAUUUUUCUGACUCGCUCGGCACCUUACGAGAAAUCAAAGUUUUUGGGUCCUGGGGAGAUGGACCG
This 1063-nucleotide ribosomal RNA is filed under the name Pseudoshiraia conidialis. Its description in RNAcentral is "SSU rRNA". It matches the Rfam family "Eukaryotic small subunit ribosomal RNA", at positions 57 to 1128 of the family's 1831-position model. The record is from RNAcentral. Lineage: Eukaryota; Fungi; Ascomycota; Dothideomycetes; Pleosporales; Shiraiaceae.